AUUUGGCUGGGCCUUUGUCUCUCGCUCCCACCAGAGCUUGGAAUCCGUCUCUUCUCUAAUGCGUUCUCCACCUCGGGAGCCCCUGGUGAUUCCGUGACGGCCUCUGUUGCCCUGUGAUCUGCAGGUCCGGAGAGACGCACAGCUAAGAUGUCAGGACAUCCUGGAAGCUGGGAAAGGGUCUUGCCAUCUCUAAGCUGGACCUGGUGACCUUUCUGGAGGGAAAGAAAGAGCCCUGGACUGUGAAGAGUGAGGAGGCCAUAGCUGCACAGCCAGUCCAGAUGUAUAAUCUCAUCCCUGAACAUUUCUGAUGGUGUGAUUAUGACAUGUGACUUUAUCCGGCAACAGAGUGAGUUGAUGCUCCCGCCUGAGCCCAGCCCACAGAAAGGAUUGUGACAUAUCGUUGGACCCAGAAUUGAGGUGGAAUUGUGACAUAUAACUUGGCCAAGCACACAGAUGUAAUGGUGUGGUGACUCUCAUACCUAGAACUGGGACCUGUGCGGGAUUGUUAAUUCAUUACUGGACAUUCCUGUGGGUGUGAUUGUUACAUAUGCCUAUGUUCAGCACCCGAGUGAUUUGAUUUUGCUGCCUGGUCUCAGUCCAAAGGUAAGAUUGUGAUUUAUUGCUGAAUCCAGCACCUUGGUGAUUUGACUGUCCUCUUUUUUUGUGGGAGGGAUCCUGCAAAUUUUGGGUAUUGUCAAUUAUUGCUGAAUCCUGCACCCAUGUUUAUGUGACUCUCCCAAAUGUGCCUUACAUGUUGUGGCACAAUAUAUCACAUUAGACAUUGUUAAAUAUUGUUGGGUUCAUCACCUGGGUGAUGGAUGUAACUUUUUUUCUGGGCCUGCCUACAGGGGACCUUGUGACAUAACUCAAUGCCCAUCACCAUGGUAAUGUUACUCUCUUCUCCUGCCUGGUCUCUGCUCACAGAGAAAUUGUGACAGAUCACUGGCCUAGCAUCUAGGUGAUGUGACUCUCCUCUUUUUUUCAGGCUCUGCAUAUUUGGGUAUUGUGACAUAUUGCAGAACUCAACACCUAAGGGAUGGGAGUCUCCUACCUAGGCCCUUCCUACAGGGGGCAUUGUGACAUGUCUCUGCAUUCCUCAUCCAGGAGAUAUGACUCUCCUUUUCUGCCUACACCCUGCCUACACAGAAAGUUGUGGCAUAUUGCUGUGGUCAGCGACCAGAUGAUAUGUUUCUCCUGCCUGGGUCUUUAUUACAGGAAAGAUGGUUGACAUAUUACUGGGCCCAGCAUCCAGAUGAUGUGACUCUCUUCUUCUGUUGGUCCCUGCUUACAGGGAAACUGUAGCAUAUUGCUACACCCAGCACCUAGCUUGUGUGAUUCUUCUUUUAGGUUUGCCUUCAGGGAACAUUGUGACAUAUUGCUGGGCCCUGCAGUGACAAUUUGUGACUCUUCUGCCUGUGAUUUGCCCACUUGGGGCAUUGUGACAUAUUGCUGGGUUUAACACUCAGGUGAUGUAACUUUUAUGCCUAGGCCUUGCUUACAGGAGGCAUUUUGAAAUGUCUUUGUGGCUGGGCACGGUGGCUCAUGUCUGUAAUCCCAGCGCUUUGGGAGGCCAAGGUGGGCAGAUCACAAAGUCGGGAGUUCGAGACCAGCCUGGUCAACAUGGUGAAAACCCGUCUCUACUAAAAACAAACAAACAAACAAACAAAAAACAAAAAUCAUCCAGGUGUGGUGAUUGGUGCCUGUAGUCCCAGCUACUCAGGAGGCUGAGGCAGGAUAAUUGCUUAAGCCCAGGAGGUGGAGGUUGCAAUGAGCUAAGAUCGCACCAUUGCACUCCAUCUUGGGCAACAGAGUGAGACUCCAUCUCCAAAAAAU
Molecule: long non-coding RNA, 1833 nt
Filed under: Pongo abelii (Sumatran orangutan)
Lineage: Eukaryota; Metazoa; Chordata; Mammalia; Primates; Hominidae
Description: lincRNA
Source: RNAcentral